This is a long non-coding RNA of Cyprinodon variegatus (sheepshead minnow), 758 nucleotides long. RefSeq lists it as uncharacterized. Lineage: Eukaryota; Metazoa; Chordata; Actinopteri; Cyprinodontiformes; Cyprinodontidae. The transcript is spliced from 4 exons. The record is from RefSeq and is a predicted model, not a curated record.
AUAAAACAGGGGGGAAAACCCGUUGGAGAGAAGCUGAAUGGAUGGAGCCGGAGAGACGUCACUGGCAGCCGCAGCCAUGAAGACCGUGCGGUCCAGCCUCCGGAGAAUCACUUCGCCUCCAUCCUCCGAGACGCUCGCCGCUCGAUCUGGGAGAGGAGCGCAUCCCGCGACGAUCCGCGAUCAGCGACGUCAGAAAUUGGCCGAUGUUUCUUGGCCUGGGGUUUAAGAGGAUGGGUAGCCUUAGGGGUUGAUUGUUAUCUUUGGUUAUCUAGCUGUAUGAGUGAUGUACAUUCUUCAUAAAGCUAGAUAACCGAAAGUAACAAGAAUCCCAUUACACUCCUGGAAAGGCAUCAAGACCCAAAGUGACUCCGCUCUGCGAAAACAAAAAAAGAUAAACAAGAAGAAACGUAACUUGAUGAAAAAAAGGACAUUUUUUUUCUUAAAGGAGGUGAAUCGUUCAUCAAAUAAAGGGUACCUUUCCACGUAGAGAAAAGAUGGCAAGGGAAGACUGAAAACAGAAGAGGAGGAGGGGUUGCUGUUGAUUGUGCCCUCCCUCUCUCAUCGCCCUCUUCUGCAUCGCCUCUUCCCACCUCCUCCUCUUCUCUUUCUCCUCCACUCCAUCCUCAGCAGACUGCCCCUUUUUCCUGUACAGCGAAAUGCAGCCCACGCCACCAUCUUAGAGCAACGCUGGCAUAAAAUGGAAGUGGGAAGACCAGUCACUGCAGAUAAACAUUGGUGGUUGGGGGCUCCAAAAUGAA